RNAcentral lists this ribosomal RNA (423 nucleotides) under uncultured bacterium. RNAcentral describes it as "partial 16S ribosomal RNA". It matches the Rfam family "Bacterial small subunit ribosomal RNA", at positions 359 to 774 of the family's 1533-position model. The record is from RNAcentral.
GAAUCUUCCGCAAUGGACGAAAGUCUGACGGAGCAACGCCGCGUGAGUGAAGAAGGCCUUCGGGUCGUAAAACUCUGUUGUUAGGGAAGAACAAGUGUCGGAGUAACUGCCGGCACCUUGACGGUACCUAGCCAGAAAGCCACGGCUCACUACGUGCCAGCAGCCGCGGUCAUACGUAGGUGGCAAGCGUUGUCCGGAAUUAUUGGGCGUAAAGCGCGCGCAGGCGGUUUCUUAAGUCUGAUGUGAAAGCCCCCGGCUCAACCGGGGAAGGUCUUUGGAAACUGAUAGGCUUGAGUACAGAAGAGGAAAGCGGAAUUCCACGUGUAGCGGUGAAAUGCGUAGAGAUGUGGAGGAACACCAGUGGCGAAGGCGGCUUUCUGGUCUGUAACUGACGCUGAGGCGCGAAAGCGUGGGGAGCAAACA